RNAcentral lists this ribosomal RNA (259 nucleotides) under Bacillus cereus. Its description in RNAcentral is "partial 16S ribosomal RNA". It matches the Rfam family "Bacterial small subunit ribosomal RNA", at positions 521 to 779 of the family's 1533-position model. The record is from RNAcentral. Lineage: Bacteria; Bacillati; Bacillota; Bacilli; Caryophanales; Bacillaceae.
UAAUACGUAGGUGGCAAGCGUUAUCCGGAAUUAUUGGGCGUAAAGCGCGCGCAGGUGGUUUCUUAAGUCUGAUGUGAAAGCCCACGGCUCAACCGUGGAGGGUCAUUGGAAACUGGGAGACUUGAGUGCAGAAGAGGAAAGUGGAAUUCCAUGUGUAGCGGUGAAAUGCGUAGAGAUAUGGAGGAACACCAGUGGCGAAGGCGACUUUCUGGUCUGUAACUGACACUGAGGCGCGAAAGCGUGGGGAGCAAACAGGAUU